GACGAACGCUGGCGGCGUGCUUAACACAUGCAAGUCGAACGGACAGGCCCUGCUUUUGUGGGUUGCUCGAGUGGCGAACGGGUGAGUAACACGUGAGUAACCUGCCCUUGACUUUGGGAUAACUUCAGGAAACUGCGGCUAAUACCGGAUAGGAGCUCCUGCUGCAUGGUGGUGGUUGGAAAGUUUCGGCGGUUGGGGAUGGACUCGCGGCUUAUCAGCUUGUUGGUGGGGUAGUGGCUGACCAAGGCUUUGACGGGUAGCCGGCCUGAGAGGGUGACCGGCCACAUGGGGACUGAGAUACGGACCAGACUCCUACGGGAGGCAGCAGUGGGGAAUAUUGCACAAUGGGCGGAAGCCUGAUGCAGCAACGCCGCGUGCGGGAUGACGGCCUUCGGGUUGUAAACCGCUUUCGCCGGUGACGAAGCGUGAGUGACGGUAAUGGGUAAAGAAGCACCGGCUAACUACGUG
RNAcentral lists this ribosomal RNA (468 nucleotides) under uncultured bacterium. RNAcentral's name for it is "partial 16S ribosomal RNA". It matches the Rfam family "Bacterial small subunit ribosomal RNA", at positions 28 to 507 of the family's 1533-position model. The record is from RNAcentral.